This 911-nucleotide ribosomal RNA is filed under the name uncultured soil archaeon. RNAcentral describes it as "bacterial SSU rRNA". It matches the Rfam family "Archaeal small subunit ribosomal RNA", at positions 1 to 920 of the family's 1478-position model. The record is from RNAcentral.
UUUCCGCUUGAUCCUGCCGGACCCGACUGCUAUCAGAGUGGGACUAAGCCAUGCGAGUCAACGCAGCAAUGCGUGGCAUACGGCUCAGUAACACGUAGUCAACAUGCCCAGGGGACGUGGAUAACCUCGGGAAACUGAGGAUAAACCGCGAUAGGCCAAGAUUUCUGGAAUGGAUCAUGGCUGAAAUCUAUAUGGCCCCUGGAUUGGACUGCGGCCGAUCAGGCUGUUGGUGAGGUAAUGGCCCACCAAACCUGUAACCGGUACGGGCUUUGAGAGAAGGAGCCCGGAGAUGGGCACUGAGACAAGGGCCCAGGCCCUAUGGGGCGCAGCAGGCGCGAAACCUCUGCAAUAGGCGAAAGCCUGACAGGGUUACUCUGAGUGAUGCCCGCUAAGGGUAUCUUUUGGCACCUCUAAAAAUGGUGCAGAAUAAGGGGUGGGCAAGUCUGGUGUCAGCCGCCGCGGUAAUACCAGCACCCCGAGUGGUCGGGACGAUUAUUGGGCCUAAAGCAUCCGUAGCUUGUCCUGCAAGUCUUCCGUUAAAUCCACCUGCUCAACAGAUGGGCUGCGGGAGAUACUACAGGGCUAGGAGGCGGGAGAGGCAAACGGUACUCAGUGGGUAGGGGUAAAAUCCUCUGAUCCACUGAAGACCACCAGUGGCGAAGGCGGUUUGCCAGAACGCGCUCGACGGUGAGGGAUGAAAGCUGGGGGAGCAAACCGGAUUAGAUACCCGGGUAGUCCCAGCUGUAAACGAUGCAGACUCGGUGAUGGGUUGGCUUCGGGCCAACCCAGUGCCGCAGGGAAGCCGUUAAGUCUGCCGCCUGGGGAGUACGGUCGCAAGACUGAAACUUAAAGGAAUUGGCGGGGGAGCACCACAAGGGGUGAAGCCUGCGGUUCAAUUGGAUUCAACGCCG